GUGGGGAAUAUUGGACAAUGGGCGCAAGCCUGAUCCAGCAAUGCCGCGUGCAGGAUGAAGGCCUUCGGGUUGUAAACUGCUUUUGUACGGAACGAAACGGUCCGGGUUAAUACCCUGGGCUAAUGACGGUACCGUAAGAAUAAGCACCGGCUAACUACGUGCCAGCAGCCGCGGUAAUACGUAGGGUGCAAGCGUUAAUCGGAAUUACUGGGCGUAAAGCGUGCGCAGGCGGUUUUGUAAGACAGGCGUGAAAUCCCCGGGCUCAACCUGUGAAUUGCGCUUGUGACUGCAAGGCUGGAGUGCGGCAGAGGGGGAUGGAAUUCCGCGUGUAGCAGUGAAAUGCGUAGAUAUGCGGAGGAACACCGAUGGCGAAGGCAAUCCCCUGGGCCUGCACUGACGCUCAUGCACGAAAGCGUGGGGAGCAAACAGGAUUAGAUACCCCAGUAGUCC
This 450-nucleotide ribosomal RNA is filed under the name uncultured bacterium. Its description in RNAcentral is "partial 16S ribosomal RNA". It matches the Rfam family "Bacterial small subunit ribosomal RNA", at positions 354 to 796 of the family's 1533-position model. The record is from RNAcentral.